This 886-nucleotide ribosomal RNA is filed under the name Curvularia eragrostidis. RNAcentral's name for it is "partial large subunit ribosomal RNA". It matches the Rfam family "Eukaryotic large subunit ribosomal RNA", at positions 21 to 923 of the family's 3401-position model. The record is from RNAcentral. Lineage: Eukaryota; Fungi; Ascomycota; Dothideomycetes; Pleosporales; Pleosporaceae.
UUACCCGCCGGAACUUAAGCAUAUCAAUAAGCGGAGGAAAAGAAACCCAACAGGGAUUGCCCUAGUAACGGCGAGUGAAGCGGCAACAGCUCAAAUUUGAAAUCUGGCUCUUUCAGAGUCCGAGUUGUAAUUUGCAGAGGGCGCUUUGGCUUUGGCAGCGGUCCAAGUUCCUUGGAACAGGACGUCACAGAGGGUGAGAAUCCCGUACGUGGUCGCUAGCUAUUGCCGUGUAAAGCCCCUUCGACGAGUCGAGUUGUUUGGGAAUGCAGCUCUAAAUGGGAGGUAAAUUUCUUCUAAAGCUAAAUAUUGGCCAGAGACCGAUAGCGCACAAGUAGAGUGAUCGAAAGAUGAAAAGCACUUUGGAAAGAGAGUCAAACAGCACGUGAAAUUGUUGAAAGGGAAGCGCUUGCAGCCAGACUUGCUUGCAGUUGCUCAUCCGGGCUUUUGCCCGGUGCACUCUUCUGCAGGCAGGCCAGCAUCAGUUUGGGCGGUGGGAUAAAGGUCUCUGUCACGUACCUCUCUUCGGGGAGGACUUAUAGGGGAGGCGACAUACCACCAGCCUGGACUGAGGUCCGCGCAUCUGCUAGGAUGCUGGCGUAAUGGCUGUAAGCGGCCCGUCUUGAAACACGGACCAAGGAGUCUAACAUCUAUGCGAGUGUUUGGGUGUCAAGCCCGAGCGCGUAAUGAAAGUGAACGGAGGUGGGAACCCGCAAGGGCGCACCAUCGACCGAUCCUGAAGUUUACGGAAGGAUUUGAGUAAGAGCAUGGCUGUUGGGACCCGAAAGAUGGUGAACUAUGCUUGAAUAGGGUGAAGCCAGAGGAAACUCUGGUGGAGGCUCGCAGCGGUUCUGACGUGCAAAUCGAUCGUCAAAUUUGGGCAUAGGGU